GGAACGAACGCUGGCGGCAUGCCUAACACAUGCAAGUCGAACGAGACCUUCGGGUCUAGUGGCGCACGGGUGCGUAACGCGUGGGAAUCUACCCUUGGGUUCGGAAUAACAGUUGGAAACGACUGCUAAUACCGGAUGAUGACGUAAGUCCAAAGAUUUAUCGCCCAGGGAUGAGCCCGCGUAGGAUUAGCUAGUUGGUGAGGUAAAGGCUCACCAAGGCGACGAUCCGUAACUGGUCUGAGAGGAUGAUCAGUCACACCGGAACUGAGACACGGUCCGACUCCGUACGGGAGGCAGCGAGGUAGGGGAAUAGUGGACAAGUGGGCGACAAGCCUGACUCCGAGACAAUCGCCG
Molecule: ribosomal RNA, 354 nt
Filed under: uncultured soil bacterium
Lineage: Bacteria
Description: bacterial SSU rRNA
Rfam family: Bacterial small subunit ribosomal RNA
Source: RNAcentral